UACGGGGGGGGCAAGCGUUGUUCGGAAUUACUGGGCGUAAAGGGCUCGUAGGCGGCCAACUAAGUCAUACGUGAAAUCCCUCGGCUUAACCGGGGAACUGCGUCUGAUACUGGAUGGCUUGAGUUCGGGAGAGGGAUGCGGAAUUCCAGGUGUAGCGGUGAAAUGCGUAGAUAUCUGGAGGAACACCGGUGGCGAAGGCGGCAUCCUGGACCGAUACUGACGCUGAGACGCGAAAGCGUGGGGAGCGAACAGG
This 253-nucleotide ribosomal RNA is filed under the name uncultured bacterium. Its description in RNAcentral is "partial 16S ribosomal RNA". It matches the Rfam family "Bacterial small subunit ribosomal RNA", at positions 524 to 776 of the family's 1533-position model. The record is from RNAcentral.